This 447-nucleotide ribosomal RNA is filed under the name uncultured bacterium. RNAcentral describes it as "bacterial SSU rRNA". It matches the Rfam family "Bacterial small subunit ribosomal RNA", at positions 355 to 825 of the family's 1533-position model. The record is from RNAcentral.
UCGGGAAUUUUGGGCAAUGGGCGAAAGCCUGACCCAGCAACGCCGCGUGAAGGAUGAAGUAUUUCGGUAUGUAAACUUCGUAAGAAUAGGAAGAAUAAAUGACGGUACUAUUUGUAAGGUCCGGCUAACUACGUGCCAGCAGCCGCGGUAAUACGUAGGGACCAAGCGUUGUUCGGAUUUACUGGGCGUAAAGGGCGCGUAGGCGGCAUGACAAGUCACUUGUGAAAUCUCUGGGCUUAACCCAGAACGGCCAAGUGAUACUGUCGCGCUAGAGUGCAGAAGGGGCAAUCGGAAUUCUUGGUGUAGCGGUGAAAUGCGUAGAUAUCAAGAGGAACACCUGAGGUGAAGACGGGUUGCUGGGCUGACACUGACGCUGAGGCGCGAAAGCCAGGGGGGCAAACGGGAUUAGAUACCCCAGUAGUCCCUGAGCGGGCUGGCAAGGCGCAU